AGGAAUGCGAAUAACGCGCGUUUUUUUCGCAUAACGCCCAACCAUAGGCAUAUUAUGCAAUUUAAGAUCAAGAUUAGUGGCAACAGGACAACCCUUAGCAAGUCUUUCCUGUAUUCUGGAAACACUACCAUCCUCCAAGGCUAAAUACUCCUGACUGACCGAUAGUGAACCAGUACCGUGAGGGAAAGGCGAAAAGAACCCCGGCGAGGGGAGUGAAAAAGAACCUGAAACCGUGUACGUACAAGCAGUGGGA
RNAcentral lists this ribosomal RNA (253 nucleotides) under Salmonella enterica subsp. enterica serovar Kentucky. Its description in RNAcentral is "partial 23S ribosomal RNA". It matches the Rfam family "Bacterial large subunit ribosomal RNA", at positions 410 to 578 of the family's 2925-position model. The record is from RNAcentral. Lineage: Bacteria; Pseudomonadati; Pseudomonadota; Gammaproteobacteria; Enterobacterales; Enterobacteriaceae.